Molecule: ribosomal RNA, 253 nt
Filed under: uncultured bacterium
Lineage: Bacteria
Description: partial 16S ribosomal RNA
Rfam family: Bacterial small subunit ribosomal RNA
Source: RNAcentral
UACGGAGGGUGCGAGCGUUGCUCGGAAUUACUGGGCGUAAAGAGCACGUAGGCGGGUUUGUAAGUCGAUUGUGAAAGCCCCGGGCUAAACCUGGGAACGGCAGUCGAUACUGCAAGUCUUGAAUGCUCGAGAGGAUGGUGGAAUUCCUGGUGUAGAGGUGAAAUGCGCAGAUAUCAGGAAGAACACCCGUGGCGAAGGCGGCUCUCUGGGACGGUACUGACGCUGAGACGCGAAAGCGUGGGGAGCGAACAGG